Molecule: non-coding RNA, 1341 nt
Organism: Delphinapterus leucas (beluga whale)
Lineage: Eukaryota; Metazoa; Chordata; Mammalia; Artiodactyla; Monodontidae
Source: RefSeq, a predicted model, not a curated record
UGGAUGGACUUAGAGAUGAUCAUACUCAGUGAACCAUCAGGCAGAAGAAUUGGAGAGACCUGUUGGGUGCCUCCAGUGGACCAGUGUCCGGGAGCUGUCCACCUUGUCUGCUGCUGGACCCCAAGGGUCGGCAUCACCUGGAAACUUGUUAGAAAUGUAGAUUCUCCAGCCCUGCCCUAGACCUGCUGAAUCAGAAUCUGCCUUUGAACAAGAUCCCUGGGGGAUUCCUAUGAACACUAAAGUUCGAGAAGCAUUGGCCCAGGCUACGUGUGCAGGGUUCUCUUGGGCACACGUAUCCAGGAGUGGAUUUGCUGGGUCACAGUGGUGUUGCAGUACAGAGAGCUGCACUGGUCUACAUCUUUACCCACACCUGGUAUUGUCAGACUUUCUCAUUUUUGCCCGUCGAAUGGGAAUAAAGUGGCAACUCAUCACUGUCUGGACUUACCUCUCCCUGAUGACUAAUGAGGUCAGGCAACUCGUGUUUACCGGCCAUGUUUCCCUUCUGUGAAGUGCCCUGUUGGUGAUUUUUGCUCUUCUGGGCUCACUCAGCUCUACCCCUGCCUUUGCACUUGCUAUUCUCUCAGCCUGAAACAACUCCCCCCUUCACUGCCCAGUGUCAGUUCUUCCAGGAAGCCCUCCAUGACUGCUGCUCAGGCUGUGAGCCUCUUCAGCCUCACUGGCAGGAAAACUUGGUGUCACUGUCCCUUCAUUUCAUCUCCUGGAGGCUCUUCCUCACCAAAGAGAAGGCAAACCUUACGGCUUGGCCCCCACAGAGUUUUGAUAUUUUUUUUUUCAACUUAGUUCCAUCAUUUAAAAUUUGGAAAAUUUUGUAUUUUAAAAAAUCUGAAAAAUUUUGUAUUUUAAAAAAUCGGAAUUGCUGAUUUCUCUUCAAAAAAACAAGAUGUAACCCCACUGCGCCUCUUUUUCUACAUGGCAACACUCAGCUGGUGCUGAGUAGGGGCCGCCCCUGCCAGACCACGUGUCACAGUCCCCACACCUCCAUGCUCACCGCCUGCUUAAUGACCUGCCUGGGCUCUGUGAGCUUUUAAGUUUGUGACGCUUGCCUAAGCACACCAGUUGUUUAUUCCUCUAAAUCUCUCCCGUCCUUUUCCUUCUCCCCAUAACUCUGUCUCUGUCCCCCCUCAGGCCUUCACACCUGUCCCCUGGACUGUCACACCAGCCUCCCCAUGACCUUGCUUUUCUAGUCUUGCCCCUUCCAGUCCACUGACCGUGUCACAACCCCACUCAAGAACCAACAAUGGCUCCCCAUUGCCUUCCCAGGCAUCUCCUGACUUUCUAAAAAAAAAAAGCAGGGACUUCCCUGGUGGUCCAGUGGUUAAG